UUAAGCGACUAAGCGUACACGGUGGAUGCCCUGGCAGUCAGAGGCGAUGAAGGACGUGCUAAUCUGCGAAAAGCGUCGGUAAGGUGAUAUGAACCGUUAUAACCGGCGAUGUCCGAAUGGGGAAACCCAGUGCAAUUCGUUGCACUAUCGUUAACUGAAUACAUAGGUUAACGAGGCGAACCGGGGGAACUGAAACAUCUAAGUACCCCGAGGAAAAGAAAUCAACCGAGAUUCCCCCAGUAGCGGCGAGCGAACGGGGAGCAGCCCAGAGUCUGAAUCAGCUUGUGUGUUAGUGGAACGGUCUGGAAAGUCCGACGGUACAGGGUGAUAGUCCCGUACACCAAAAUGCACAGGUUGUGAACUCGAAGAGUAGGGCGGGACACGUGGUAUCCUGUCUGAAUAUGGGGGGACCAUCCUCCAAGGCUAAAUACUCCUGACUGACCGAUAGUGAACCAGUACCGUGAGGGAAAGGCGAAAAGAACCCCGGCGAGGGGAGUGAAAAAGAACCUGAAACCGUGUACGUACAAGCAGUGGGAGCACCUUCGGGUGUGACUGCGUACCUUUUGUAUAAUGGGUCAGCGACUUAUAUUCUGUAGCAAGGUUAACCGUAUAGGGGAGCCGCAGGGAAACCGAGUCUUAACUGGGCGUUAAGUUGCAGGGUAUAGACCCGAAACCCGGUGAUCUAGCCAUGGGCAGGUUGAAGGUUGGGUAACACUAACUGGAGGACCGAACCGACUAAUGUUGAAAAAUUAGCGGAUGACUUGUGGCUGGGGGUGAAAGGCCAAUCAAACCGGGAGAUAGCUGGUUCUCCCCGAAAGCUAUUUAGGUAGCGCCUCGUGAACUCAUCUUCGGGGGUAGAGCACUGUUUCGGCUAGGGGGUCAUCCCGACUUACCAACCCGAUGCAAACUACGAAUACCGAAGAAUGUUAUCACGGGAGACACACGGCGGGUGCUAACGUCCGUCGUGAAGAGGGAAACAACCCAGACCGCCAGCUAAGGUCCCAAAGUCAUGGUUAAGUGGGAAACGAUGUGGGAAGGCACAGACAGCCAGGAUGUUGGCUUAGAAGCAGCCAUCAUUUAAAGAAAGCGUAAUAGCUCACUGGUCGAGUCGGCCUGCGCGGAAGAUGUAACGGGGCUAAACCAUGCACCGAAGCUGCGGCAGCGACGCUUAUGCGUUGUUGGGUAGGGGAGCGUUCUGUAAGCCUGCGAAGGUGACCUGUGAGGGUUGCUGGAGGUAUCAGAAGUGCGAAUGCUGACAUAAGUAACGAUAAAGCGGGUGAAAAGCCCGCUCGCCGGAAGACCAAGGGUUCCUGUCCAACGUUAAUCGGGGCAGGGUGAGUCGACCCCUAAGGCGAGGCCGAAAGGCGUAGUCGAUGGGAAACAGGUUAAUAUUCCUGUACUUGGUGUUACUGCGAAGGGGGGACGGAGAAGGCUAUGUUAGCCGGGCGACGGUUGUCCCGGUUUAAGCAUGUAGGCUGGUUAUCCAGGCAAAUCCGGAUAAUCAAGGCUGAGGUGUGAUGACGAGGCACUACGGUGCUGAAGUAACAAAUGCCCUGCUUCCAGGAAAAGCCUCUAAGCAUCAGGUAACACGAAAUCGUACCCCAAACCGACACAGGUGGUCAGGUAGAGAAUACCAAGGCGCUUGAGAGAACUCGGGUGAAGGAACUAGGCAAAAUGGUGCCGUAACUUCGGGAGAAGGCACGCUGGUGUGUAGGUGAAGUCCCUGCGGAUGGAGCUGAGACCAGUCGAAGAUACCAGCUGGCUGCAACUGUUUAUUAAAAACACAGCACUGUGCAAACACGAAAGUGGACGUAUACGGUGUGACGCCUGCCCGGUGCCGGAAGGUUAAUUGAUGGGGUUAUCCGUAAGGAGAAGCUCUUGAUCGAAGCCCCGGUAAACGGCGGCCGUAACUAUAACGGUCCUAAGGUAGCGAAAUUCCUUGUCGGGUAAGUUCCGACCUGCACGAAUGGCGUAAUGAUGGCCAGGCUGUCUCCACCCGAGACUCAGUGAAAUUGAACUCGCUGUGAAGAUGCAGUGUACCCGCGGCAAGACGGAAAGACCCCGUGAACCUUUACUAUAGCUUGACACUGAACAUUGAGCCUUGAUGUGUAGGAUAGGUGGGAGGCUUUGAAGCGUGGACGCCAGUCUGCGUGGAGCCAACCUUGAAAUACCACCCUUUAAUGUUUGAUGUUCUAACGUUGGCCCCUUACCGGGGUUGCGGACAGUGUCUGGUGGGUAGUUUGACUGGGGCGGUCUCCUCCCAAAGCGUAACGGAGGAGCACGAAGGUUAGCUAAUCCUGGUCGGACAUCAGGAGGUUAGUGCAAUGGCAUAAGCUAGCUUGACUGCGAGCGUGACGGCGCGAGCAGGUGCGAAAGCAGGUCAUAGUGAUCCGGUGGUUCUGAAUGGAAGGGCCAUCGCUCAACGGAUAAAAGGUACUCCGGGGAUAACAGGCUGAUACCGCCCAAGAGUUCAUAUCGACGGCGGUGUUUGGCACCUCGAUGUCGGCUCAUCACAUCCUGGGGCUGAAGUAGGUCCCAAGGGUAUGGCUGUUCGCCAUUUAAAGUGGUACGCGAGCUGGGUUUAGAACGUCGUGAGACAGUUCGGUCCCUAUCUGCCGUGGGCGCUGGAGAAUUGAGGGGGGCUGCUCCUAGUACGAGAGGACCGGAGUGGACGCAUCACUGGUGUUCGGGUUGUCAUGCCAAUGGCACUGCCCGGUAGCUAAAUGCGGAAGAGAUAAGUGCUGAAAGCAUCUAAGCACGAAACUUGCCCCGAGAUGAGUUCUCCCUGAGACUUUAAGUCUCCUGAAGGAACGUUGAAGACGACGACGUUGAUAGGCCGGGUGUGUAAGCGCAGCGAUGCGUUGAGCUAACCGGUACUAAUGAACCGUGAGGCUUAACCU
This 2900-nucleotide ribosomal RNA is filed under the name Klebsiella quasipneumoniae subsp. similipneumoniae. Its description in RNAcentral is "23S ribosomal RNA". It matches the Rfam family "Bacterial large subunit ribosomal RNA". The record is from RNAcentral. Lineage: Bacteria; Pseudomonadati; Pseudomonadota; Gammaproteobacteria; Enterobacterales; Enterobacteriaceae.